UUAAUUCAAAUUUGUAUGGAGUUGGAAUGUUUGCCUACGUUUGCGGCUAGGGACGUUGUUCCAACUGCAUUUUUUUACCUA
RNAcentral lists this microRNA precursor (81 nucleotides) under Bombyx mori (domestic silkworm). RNAcentral's name for it is "mir-2807 microRNA precursor family". It matches the Rfam family "mir-2807 microRNA precursor family". The record is from Rfam by way of RNAcentral. Lineage: Eukaryota; Metazoa; Arthropoda; Insecta; Lepidoptera; Bombycidae.